RNAcentral lists this ribosomal RNA (301 nucleotides) under uncultured bacterium. Its description in RNAcentral is "partial 16S ribosomal RNA". It matches the Rfam family "Bacterial small subunit ribosomal RNA", at positions 509 to 809 of the family's 1533-position model. The record is from RNAcentral.
CAGCAGCCGCGGUAAUACGAAGGGUGCAAGCGUUAAUCGGAAUUACUGGGCGUAAAGCGUGCGUAGGCGGUUUGUUAAGUCUGUUGUGAAAUCCCCGGGCUCAACCUGGGAAUGGCAAUGGAUACUGGCAAGCUAGAGUGUGUCAGAGGAUGGUGGAAUUCCCGGUGUAGCGGUGAAAUGCGUAGAGAUCGGGAGGAACAUCAGUGGCGAAGGCGGCCAUCUGGGACAACACUGACGCUGAGGCACGAAAGCGUGGGGAGCAAACAGGAUUAGAUACCCCUGUAGUCCCUGUCUCUUACAC